GGCAGAGGGGCGCUGGGCAUCAAUGGAAAAGUAUAGAAGAAUCUCUUGGGCUUUUCUGAUGCUUGUGGACAGCUGAGUGUAAACUUCCUGGUGCUAAGUAUGUCUUCUCCCAAAUGGGAAACUCUUUGGGAGGAGGAUCUAUGGCAGCUCUAUUUUCAGGAAACUCUGCUUCAGGGUUCUGCUGGACUAGAAAUCCUGGUUCCCAGUGGGACUACCCUUCUACCAAGGAACAUGGUAAGCUUAGAGAAAUCUCUGUCUCUGAUCCAGAAGAACCUCAAAACUCAGAAUGGAGGGAAGAACUGCAUGGGGGACUAUCAAGACUUGCUGAUCUUAAGACAUUGAGAUGCAGACUGACCUUCCAAAAUUCAUCUUCCCUUUGUCUCUCAAUCCAUGAGUGUGGAUCACCUUUCUGGUAACAGCCCACCUGAUUUUUUUAAGUAAUCUCUACACCCAAUGUAUAGCCCGAAUUUACAACCCUGAGAUCUGGAGUCGUAUGUUCCAUCAGCUGGCCAGCCAGGUACCACUACAGCAUGAGACUUCAGGUCAAAGACAGCCAUUUUUGAGCAGUGAACAGAGUGGACCCCAAACUAAAAGAUUGUCGUGGAGGACUAUGGAAGCUUUUUCAGUCAGUUCAAGUGAGUUGCAAGUAGAGAUUGGAGAAGAGUCUUUUUAAAUGAGUAUAAUAAGGUGGAUCUUUUU
Long non-coding RNA from Mustela lutreola (European mink), 699 nucleotides. RefSeq lists it as uncharacterized. The transcript is spliced from 5 exons. The record is from RefSeq and is a predicted model, not a curated record. Lineage: Eukaryota; Metazoa; Chordata; Mammalia; Carnivora; Mustelidae.